GGCAAACGGGUGAGUAUAAUGUGGGAAUCUGCCUUUUGGUCUGGAAUAACACGGGGAAACUUGUGCUAAUACCGGAUAAGCCUUUACGGGGAAAGUUUUAAUGCCGAAAGAUGAGCCUGCACUUGAUUAGCUAGUUGGUAAGGUAAAAGCUUACCAAGGCGACGAUCAAUAGCUGUUCUUAGAGGAAGACCAGCCACAUUGGGACUGAGACACGGCCCAGACUCCUACGGGAGGCAGCAGUGGGGAAUCUUGCACAAUGGGGGAAACCCUGAUGCAGCGAUGCCGCGUGAGUGAAGAAGGCCCUUGGGUUGUAAAACUCUUUCGUCGGGGAAGAAAAUGACUGUACCCGAAUAAGAAGGUCCGGCUAACUUCGUGCCAGCAGCCGCGGUAAUACGAAGGGACCUAGCGUAGUUCGGAAUUACUGGGCUUAAAGAGCUCGUAGGUGGUUAAAAAAGUUGAUGGUGAAAUCCCAAGGCUCAACCUUGGAACUGCCAUCAAAACUUUUUAGCUAGAGUGUGAUAGAGGUAAGUGGAAUUUCUAGUGUAGAGGUGAAAUUCGUAGAUAUUAGAAAGAACACCAAAUGCGAAGGCAACUUACUGGGUCACUACUGACACUGAGGAGCGAAAGCAUGGGUAGCGAAGAGGAUUAGAUACCCUCGUAGUCCAUGCCGUAAACGAUGUGUGCUAGACGUUGGAAAUAUAUUUUUCAGUGUCGCAGCGAAAGCAUUAAGCACAC
RNAcentral lists this ribosomal RNA (735 nucleotides) under uncultured marine bacterium. RNAcentral describes it as "bacterial SSU rRNA". It matches the Rfam family "Bacterial small subunit ribosomal RNA", at positions 97 to 869 of the family's 1533-position model. The record is from RNAcentral.